Non-coding RNA from Podarcis lilfordi (Lilford's wall lizard), 73 nucleotides. NCBI's taxonomy places the organism in Eukaryota, Metazoa, Chordata, Lepidosauria, Squamata, Lacertidae. The record is from the annotation of a GenBank genome assembly.
UCCUAGAUAACUUAGUUGAUUAAAAUGUGGUGCUGAUAAUGCCAAGGUUUCAGGUUCAACCCCUGUAUGGGAG